CAGUCGCCGCGGGAAAACGGAGGGUGCAAGCGUUAAUCGGAAUUACUGGGCGUAAAGCGCACGCAGGCAGUUUGUUAAGUCAGAUGUGAAAUCCCCGAGCUUAACUUGGGAACUGCAUUUGAAACUGGCAAGCUAGAGUCUUGUAGAGGGGGGUAGAAUUCCAGGUGUAGCGGUGAAAUGCGUAGAGAUCUGGAGGAAUACCGGUGGCGAAGGCGGCCCCCUGGACAAAGACUGACGCUCAGGUGCGAAAGCGUGGGGAGCAAACAGGAUUAGAUACCCCGGUAGUCCCUGUCUCUUAUAC
This 301-nucleotide ribosomal RNA is filed under the name uncultured bacterium. RNAcentral's name for it is "partial 16S ribosomal RNA". It matches the Rfam family "Bacterial small subunit ribosomal RNA", at positions 509 to 807 of the family's 1533-position model. The record is from RNAcentral.